GACGAACGCUGGCGGCGUGCUUAACACAUGCAAGUCGAACGAAGAGCGAUGGAAGCUUGCUUCUAUCAAUCUUAGUGGCGAACGGGUGAGUAACGCGUAAUCAACCUGCCCUUCAGAGGGGGACAACAGUUGGAAACGACUGCUAAUACCGCAUACGAUCUAAUCUCGGCAUCGAGGAUAGAUGAAAGGUGGCCUCUACAUGUAAGCUAUCACUGAAGGAGGGGAUUGCGUCUGAUUAGCUAGUUGGAGGGGUAACGGCCCACCAAGGCGAUGAUCAGUAGCCGGUCUGAGAGGAUGAACGGCCACAUUGGGACUGAGGCACGGCCCAGACUCCUACGGGAGGCAGCAGUGGGGAAUCUUCCGCAAUGGACGAAAGUCUGACGGAGCAACGCCGCGUGAGUGAUGACGGCCUUCGGGUUGUAAAGCUCUGUUAAUCGGGACGAAAGGCCUUCUUGCGAAUAGGGAGAAGGAUUGACGGUACCGGAAUAGAAAGCCACGGCUAACUACGUG
Molecule: ribosomal RNA, 510 nt
Filed under: uncultured bacterium
Lineage: Bacteria
Description: partial 16S ribosomal RNA
Rfam family: Bacterial small subunit ribosomal RNA
Source: RNAcentral